GUAAAUCAUUCAUCAAUGUAAUAAAAUGCUCAAAUACUAAUUGCAGAUGCAGAUAAAUUAAAGUAAACUGUUCAUGUUCCAACUCGCUCUAGAAUGGAUUUCCGCCAACACUUUGGAAAUCUGAAAUCGGUCUUAAACCACCUGAAGUGCUUCGCUGAACUCACAGAGCUGAACUUGAAUGAGAAAAUAAACAGAAUACGCUCAAAAAUCUUAUUAAUCCUAACCUCGAAAAUAUUUACGGUUCAAGCACAGACCAGACCGUUCAACAUAAUCAAAACAACUCGUACCAACAUACCCAAGCCUAAUUCCUCUAGCCCAAUUUUAAAUUGAGAAAUAAUUUCCUUCAAAUUAGCAAUUAACCGUAAAGUAACAAUCUACUAGUUUUUCGUAUAUUUUUAAAGCAAGUCCAUUCGAAAAAGGUUUCUUAGUGGUGUUUUUUGCCGAUUUUGACCACUUUUCUCUCCUUGAGAUUCCCUACCCUUUUCAUCUGACCAGAAUCUGACUUUAUUUUUGUUGGUUAGGAAGUUUACAUAAAAACGAAUUUACAUAAUGCAUGUUUACUGUUUACGAAUUACAUGUUUAGCUUAAUCUACAUACAUGCUUUAGAAAUGAUUCAUACUGCACAAAUGGUAGGAAAAUCAGGUACACAUACAUAUGUUUAGCAACCAAUAUCUUUAGUAAAUAUUAUUGAUAAAAUGCGUAGCAUCGUCUGUAAUGUUUAUGUUUCAUCGACGUCUUUGCCAGCUGAAUAACUUUCACAUCAUGUUAAUUCUUUUGCUAACUACCGGGUUUAUAAUCCAACUGAAAAUCUUGUAUCAUAACUACCAGAGAAACAUCAGACUUGUUGAGUACAGGGAAAGGAUUAACGAAUUAUCAGAUAAUAUGAAGUCAAUGAACAGAAUAGCGAAUACAACAUCAGAAUUGAUGAAGAAGCUACUAGCGUCUCUCAGCUCAAAAAGACUUAAUCAGCAAAUUACCAUAAGCUGACAGUAUAUGUAUAGAUUCAAAUAUCGGAGUAGGCAAACCCAACACAGAGAAUAUUGCCUUGCUUUACAGCAGAUUCGAGUUUUUUCAAUACCAAAAACAUUGAUAAAAAUAAUAAAAAAAUAAAAGUUUGAUUUGCAUAGUCAAUUUUGCCUAUUGCUGGUAAUAUUUCAGACACGGAAAGAUACAGAAAACUUUGCAUCAAAAAUUAACUUUUUGAAGUUAUAUAGAGACAAUUGUGAUAAUGGUCAGUCCUCAGUACAAUCGUUCUAACCAAAUAAUUAUAUAACGUUUGCUUUAGUGUAGGGGAGAGCUUACGGGAAAGUGCCAAUUCUAUUCAAUUCAAAUUCAAUUAAUCAAAUAUUUUAUUACUUCAGGCAAAAAAUUAUUAUCUAAUAGUUAAAUUGGUGCAACUUAGGUCCAUUGGCCAGUUUAGAUAUAUCUUUUAUAUUUUCAAUGAAAAUAUUUUAUUAAUAGAACUACUAUAGUCAUGUAUGAGUUAAUUUUCGGAGACUUAGCAGUGAUCUUUGUUUAAGGAUCUGUAAGUAAUUUUUAAUUGUACUUUGACUAAUAUGAAAAAUAAUUGCGCAUUAAAAAGGUUCUAUCUCUCUGUUAUAAAAUUCUUCUUUAAAACGCAGAUAUCGAGUGUUAUAUUUGUUACGUGUGAUAUUCCUCUUUGUAUAAUUACGAAUCAAGCUUUAAAAUUUGUUGGGCAGUGUGCACAUGUUCACAAACGUUUUAAAUACAUUCGUAAAUGCCUAUAGUUAGUGUUGUAAUGGCAACGAUUAUUUAACAUGAUGUUUUAAAGUCUAUAUUUGUACUUAUUUUGAGAUCUGUUAAUAUUUUGUAGAAUUUAUCGCAGUUUUAACCUGUUAGUUGGUAAAUAAAAGUAUUUUAUUCACAAAAAAA
This is a long non-coding RNA of Dendroctonus ponderosae (mountain pine beetle), 1893 nucleotides long. RefSeq lists it as uncharacterized. The transcript is spliced from 2 exons. NCBI's taxonomy places the organism in Eukaryota, Metazoa, Arthropoda, Insecta, Coleoptera, Curculionidae. The record is from RefSeq and is a predicted model, not a curated record.